This 278-nucleotide long non-coding RNA is filed under the name Manihot esculenta (cassava). RNAcentral's name for it is "long non-coding RNA (MESC_LNC010327)". Lineage: Eukaryota; Viridiplantae; Streptophyta; Magnoliopsida; Malpighiales; Euphorbiaceae. The record is from RNAcentral.
CCGGGUCGACUUAAGGCCGCCGGGACCCGUAGCAAGCUUGACAUAAAACUUGUAAACCUGUAUAAUCCCAUACAUGAUCAACAACAUGCAUAAAAAUUAAAACUUUUCUUUCCUUUGAACAUCAACCAAACUCAACCUGUGCAUAACAUUAACAUAACUUUGAUCCCUCUGUGGGAUCUCAUCUGUGCCCUCAAUGGGUAACAUACAUCUGUUGAGUUGGUUUACAUAAACAUCAACAAAAUCUCUAAGAUCAUGUAUAAAAGGGAUACAACAAUCUA